GACGAACGCUGGCGGCGUGCUUAACACAUGCAAGUCGAACGGAAAGGCCCUUCGGGGUACUCGAGUGGCGAACGGGUGAGUAACACGUGGGUGAUCUGCCCUGCACUUUGGGAUAAGCCUGGGAAACUGGGUCUAAUACCGAAUAGGACCACGCGCUUCAUGGUGUGUGGUGGAAAGCUUUUGCGGUGUGGGAUGGGCCCGCGGCCUAUCAGCUUGUUGGUGGGGUAAUGGCCUACCAAGGCGACGACGGGUAGCCGGCCUGAGAGGGUGACCGGCCACACUGGGACUGAGAUACGGCCCAGACUCCUACGGGAGGCAGCAGUGGGGAAUAUUGCACAAUGGGCGCAAGCCUGAUGCAGCGACGCCGCGUGAGGGAUGACGGCCUUCGGGUUGUAAACCUCUUUCACCAGGGACGAAGCGUAAGUGACGGUACCUGGAGAAGAAGCACCGGCUAACUACGUG
RNAcentral lists this ribosomal RNA (462 nucleotides) under uncultured bacterium. Its description in RNAcentral is "partial 16S ribosomal RNA". It matches the Rfam family "Bacterial small subunit ribosomal RNA", at positions 28 to 507 of the family's 1533-position model. The record is from RNAcentral.